AUUUUUGCACUUCUUUGGAGCACAAGGAAUCCUUGAUUGCUACUUGGAAUCUUUGAUUGCCAAAUGCUACAAAGUAUCUUAAGGCUUAUCGACCCAUUCAUUUUCUGUAGCAAGUCUUCCUGAGCCACGGCCGCCCAUUUUUCCAAAUGGACUCAUCGCCGAUAAGCCCUUGAAGCUGCUGCUUCCCUCGUUACUGAAGUUUCGUGACCUCCUUGCUUUCCUCAUCUUUGGUGAACCAAUGUCUCCAAUUUCCUGAUCAGCAUCCUCACAAUCUUUGACUUUGGCAACCACUAGGCGGACAAUGGAGCUUCGACAGAACGGGCAAACAGGAGGGUUUAUGCAUGCAGUUGCUGGGUUUGGUUUGUUGUGGCAGCAUAGGGCUAGUGUGCACUGCGC
Molecule: unclassified non-coding RNA, 396 nt
Filed under: Hevea brasiliensis (rubber tree)
Lineage: Eukaryota; Viridiplantae; Streptophyta; Magnoliopsida; Malpighiales; Euphorbiaceae
Source: RNAcentral